Molecule: long non-coding RNA, 820 nt
Organism: Clupea harengus (Atlantic herring)
Lineage: Eukaryota; Metazoa; Chordata; Actinopteri; Clupeiformes; Clupeidae
Source: Ensembl
GCCGUGGUCAGCCUCCCCAGACUUAGCGAUGCCUUCCUGGUAAUCUUUGGACUGAUAUAUGCACUACACCUCAGCUACCCCAAAGCACUGACCAACACUUUUGAAUUCACUGAAAAGAUUUUACUUGGUCUAGAAAGUGGUAAACUGUCACCCAGGUUGCAGACCCUCAAGAAUGACUUGUUGAUGUAAGUGACUGAUGGAGGAGGUGGAGAGGGAGGUGACUGAUGGAGGAGGUGGAGAGGGAGGUGACUGAUGGAGGAGGUGGAGAUGGAGGUGACUGAUGGAGGAGGUGGAGAAGGAGGUGACUGAUGGCGGAGGUGGAGAGGGAGGAUAAGAGGGAGGUGACUGAUGGAGGAGGUGGAGAGGGAGGAUAAGAGGGAGGUGACUGAUGGAGGAGGUGGAGAGGGAGGUGACUGAUGGAGGAGGUGGAGAUGGAGGUGACUGAUGGAGGAGGUGAGGGAGGUGACUGAUGGCGGAGGUGGAGAGGGAGGUGACUGAUGGCGGAGGUGACUGAUGGAGGAGGAGAGAGGGAGGUGACUGAUGGAGGAGGUGGAGAGGGAGGUGACUGAUGGAGGAGGUGGAGAGGGAGGUGACUGAUGGCGGAGGUGACUGAUGGAGGAGGAGAGAGGGAGGUGACUGAUGGAGGAGGAGAGGGAGGUGACUGAUGGAGGAGGUGGAGAGGGAGGUGACUGAUGGAGGAGGUGGAGAGGGAGGUGACUGAUGGCAUAGGAGGAGAGAGGGAGGCUUUGAUUUAUUUUGAUUUAUAGAUGUUUAUUAUUUAUUUUUCUAUUUAAUUUUAAUAUUGCAGUGUGCUAAAAGG